CUCCUCUCAGGAGCACACCUGGAGAGUUUCCAGUCCUCUACCAGUCUCAGCUAUGGGAGGGAGAAUCAAGCAGAGGUAUACCCAUUCCAUUCCUAGCUUGGGCAGUGGCUAAUGAGUGGAAGACAAUCUGCUAUAUGU
Small nucleolar RNA from Ornithorhynchus anatinus (platypus), 138 nucleotides. The record is from RefSeq and is a predicted model, not a curated record. Lineage: Eukaryota; Metazoa; Chordata; Mammalia; Monotremata; Ornithorhynchidae.